RNAcentral lists this ribosomal RNA (393 nucleotides) under Sphenomorphus sp. steerei 5 CWL-2011. RNAcentral's name for it is "partial 12S ribosomal RNA". It matches the Rfam family "Bacterial small subunit ribosomal RNA", at positions 794 to 1391 of the family's 1533-position model. The record is from RNAcentral. Lineage: Eukaryota; Metazoa; Chordata; Lepidosauria; Squamata; Scincidae.
GCUUAGCCCUAAACAUAGACAGCAUUAAUACAAUCCUGUCCGCCAGAGAACUACAAGCGAAAAGCUCAAAACUCCAAGGACUUGGCGGUGCUUCAAACCACCCUAGAGGAGCCUGUCCUAUAAUCGAUACUCCACGUUUUACCUUACCGCCACUAGUCAAUUCAGCCUAUAUACCGCCGUCGUCAGCUUACCUUAUGAAAGCAAUAAAGUAAGCAAAAGAGUUAUCAACUAACACGUCAGGUCAAGGUGUAGCAAACGGGGCGGCAGAGAUGGGCUACAUUUUUUCAAAGGAAAAAUACGAACAGAAUAUUGAAACACACCCUCAAAGGCGGAUUUAGUAGUAAAAUAUAAAAGAAAAUAUAUUUUAAACCCGCUCUGAAGCGCGCACACACC